CUCGUAGGCGGUUCGUCGCGUCCGGUGUGAAAGUCCAUCGCUUAACGGUGGAUCUGCGCCGGGUACGGGCGGGCUGGAGUGCGGUAGGGGAGACUGGAAUUCCCGGUGUAACGGUGGAAUGUGUAGAUAUCGGGAAGAACACCAAUGGCGAAGGCAAGUCUCUGGGCCGUUACUGACGCUGAGGAGCGAAAGCGUGGGGAGCGAACA
This 207-nucleotide ribosomal RNA is filed under the name uncultured bacterium. RNAcentral's name for it is "partial 16S ribosomal RNA". It matches the Rfam family "Bacterial small subunit ribosomal RNA", at positions 568 to 774 of the family's 1533-position model. The record is from RNAcentral.